Molecule: long non-coding RNA, 1086 nt
Filed under: Sinocyclocheilus grahami
Lineage: Eukaryota; Metazoa; Chordata; Actinopteri; Cypriniformes; Cyprinidae
Description: lncRNA (ENSSGRG00000021048.1)
Source: RNAcentral
GAGUCCGACUCUCUAACCAUUAGGCCACGACUUCCCCCAAACUGACAGUUCUUCCCCAUUUAGUGGGACCUUUGACCUUUCACAUGGCUAAGAUCAGUAUAUAAAGCAGCUGUGAUGUUUCAUAAAUAGGAGAUGUUUACUAAUAGUACCAGAGUGUCUAAGCUGCAUUUUUCACUGGAAAUACCAGUGAUCUUGAAGUGCCGACAAUGAAACUGUAGCCUGUCAGUGUUACGGAUCUCAUCUCUGGGUAGAGGACACUGAUUAUGUGCCUCUGUGUACAAAUGUUUUCCAGACUGCAGACAGCAGUGUAACAGGUGUAUGUAUGUGUGUUUGCAGGUGCGAUUGCUGCAGCAGUGUUCAUAGGCUUUCUGUUAGCCCUCUAUGCUGCUCUUUGGAAAUGUAUGGUUACGCAACCGAAAAGGAGGGAAAAAAGAGCAAGACUGAAGGCUCGUGAACACAGGUCUCUUACAUGCUGACCUCUGAACGGGACGUCCGCCUGUCUACCAGAGAUUCUGAGUUACUGAUGUUAAGUCGGAGCUUCUCCUGGUGUGAAGCACCCUCAUGAAACGUGUUUAGGUAUUAACGCACAGUUUGAGACAAUAUUUCAUGCAGGAGGGAACUAGAUGCUUCAGAUGCUUCAGUCACCUAUCAGGUUCUGGAUUGGUAUGUUUGACAGAGCAGUGUAUGUUAUUCAGUUAGACCAGAGAGUUACAUUUUAGAAAAUGGUUUUAAAAAUGUAAAUGUAGUCAUUAAACUAAGUGAUUUUGUGUAUAUUGUGUGUAUACAUAGGGAAUAGCAAGCCCAAAUGUGCUCUUGAAGUGUGUACGAAUGUUUUACUUUGUCACAACAAAACAAAUGUCCACUAGAUGGCAGAUGGCUCAAUGUUUUUUUUUUUACUUUUUACUUGAUGAAACAAGAAUCAGCCAAGAUAUACAGUCUUUCAGUCUUUAGAGGUUUAUCUUUAUAGACUUAUGUGUUUCGGACGUUUAUUUUAUUGCUGAUAGCUAUGCUAAUUAAUUCAUGAAUGAUAUAAUCAAUUUUAAGAGACUAGGCCCUUGUUUUUCUCCAAACAUCCCCUUUGACCAU